UGGGCGCCAAAUACCGUAGCAGAAGCUGUUGCUGUUAAGAGUACGACGGGUUUCGGAAACAAUGUAGAUAUAUGGACAGGUCUUUAUAGUCCUACAAGUGACGAGAACUUUGAAUUUGUCGAUGCUGGUGGUGUUUUUACAUUGGAUACUCUCCCAUUUGGGGAACGUGAUGCAAUAGAUAACGACGACUGUGUGGAAUUUGAAUUAACAAAUUCUAAUAACUGGAACUGGG
Molecule: long non-coding RNA, 232 nt
Organism: Mytilus trossulus (common blue mussel)
Lineage: Eukaryota; Metazoa; Mollusca; Bivalvia; Mytilida; Mytilidae
Exons: 3
Source: RefSeq, a predicted model, not a curated record